UUGAUCUGUCACGAUUCUUACACUAUCAAACUUUAUUUGUCUUCUGAAGGCGGCAAUGGACCAAAACUUCACCAAAGGGCGCAGAGCUGAACUUGUACAGUCUUCCUGUCUCUAUUUGGCUU
Molecule: small RNA, 122 nt
Filed under: Arabidopsis thaliana (thale cress)
Lineage: Eukaryota; Viridiplantae; Streptophyta; Magnoliopsida; Brassicales; Brassicaceae
Description: ATSL077560
Source: RNAcentral